This 475-nucleotide ribosomal RNA is filed under the name uncultured bacterium. RNAcentral describes it as "partial 16S ribosomal RNA". It matches the Rfam family "Bacterial small subunit ribosomal RNA", at positions 28 to 507 of the family's 1533-position model. The record is from RNAcentral.
GAUGAACGCUGGCGGCGUGCUUAACACAUGCAAGUCGAACGAUGAACCUCACUUGUGGGGGGAUUAGUGGCGAACGGGUGAGUAACACGUGAGUAACCUGCCCUUGACUCUGGGAUAAGCCUGGGAAACCGGGUCUAAUACUGGAUACGACCUUCUGUCGCAUGCCAUGUUGGUGGAAAGCUUUUGUGGUUUUGGUUGGACUCGCGGCCUAUCAGCUUGUUGGUGGGGUAAUGGCUUACCAAGGCGACGACGGGUAGCCGGCCUGAGAGGGUGACCGGCCAGAGUCAGACUGAGAAACGGGCCAGACGGCUACGGUAGGCAGCAGUGCGGAAUGUUGCACAAUGGGAGGGAGCCUGAUGCAGCGAGGCAGCAUGAGGGAUGGAUGCCUUAGGGUUGUAAACCUCUUUGAGUAGAGAAGAAGCCGGCUUUUGGGUUGGUGACGGUACCUGCAGAAGAAGCGCCGGCUAACUACGUG